UUGGAGGGCAAGUCUGGUGCCAGCAGCCGCGGUAAUUCCAGCUCCAAUAGCGUAUAUUAAAGUUGUUGCAGUUAAAAAGCUCGUAGUUGAACUUCAGGCCUGUCCAGACGGUCCGCCUUAAUUGGUGUGUACUGUCCUUGGGUGGGUCCUACCUUCUGGCGAAGCGGCAUGGCCUUAAUUGGUUGUGUCGGGGAACCAGGACUUUUACUGUGAAAAAAUUAGAGUGUUCAAAGCAGGCAAAUAUGCUCGAAUACAUUAGCAUGGAAUAAUGGAAUAGGACGAUGGUUCUAUUUUGUUGGUUCUAGGACCGUUGUAAUGAUUAAUAGGGAUAGUUGGGGGCAUUAGUAUUCAAUUGUCAGAGGUGAAAUACUUGGAUUUAUUGAAGACUAACUACUGCGAAAGCAUUUGCCAAGAAUGUUUUCAUUAAUCAAGAACGAAAGUUAGGGGAUCGAAGACGAUCAGAUACCGUCGUAGUCUUAACCAUAAACUAUGCCGACUAGGAAUCGGGCGAUGUUGACAAAAUGACUCGCUCGGCACCUCAUGGGAAACCAAAGUGUUUGGGUUC
RNAcentral lists this ribosomal RNA (565 nucleotides) under uncultured Glomeromycotina. Its description in RNAcentral is "bacterial SSU rRNA". It matches the Rfam family "Eukaryotic small subunit ribosomal RNA", at positions 548 to 1114 of the family's 1831-position model. The record is from RNAcentral. Lineage: Eukaryota; Fungi; Glomeromycota.